GGAUAGCUCAGUUGGUUAGAGCGUGGCGCUGAUCAUGCCAAGGCUGCAGGUUCGAUCCCCGUAUGGGGCAGCUACA
Non-coding RNA from Podarcis lilfordi (Lilford's wall lizard), 76 nucleotides. The record is from the annotation of a GenBank genome assembly. Lineage: Eukaryota; Metazoa; Chordata; Lepidosauria; Squamata; Lacertidae.